UACCGGCUGCUCGAGCGUUAAUCGGAAUUACUGGGCGUAAAGCGUGCGCAGGCGGUUUUGUAAGACAGAUGUGAAAUCCCCGGGCUUAACCUGGGAACUGCGUUUGUGACUGCAAGGCUAGAGUACGGCAGAGGGGGUGGAAUUCCACGUGUAGCAGUGAAAUGCGUAGAUAUGUGGAGGAACACCGAUGGCGAAGGCAGCCCCCUGGGCCUGUACUGACGCUCAUGCACGAAAGCGUGGGGAGCAAACA
This 250-nucleotide ribosomal RNA is filed under the name uncultured bacterium. RNAcentral describes it as "partial 16S ribosomal RNA". It matches the Rfam family "Bacterial small subunit ribosomal RNA", at positions 524 to 774 of the family's 1533-position model. The record is from RNAcentral.